AUGUUACAAGGCAUCUACAAUAUUCAGCCUAUUUUCCUUGAGAACGAAUUCGGAAACAACUAACUUAGAUACUCAAGGAUUCUACAACUUGAAGCUUCUUGAAUCUUAUCAAUGAUAUAUCAUUAAGGUUAAUGAAAGAAGCACUGAAUUCGAGAAGGACAAAAGUAACGUGGUAGAUGCUAACAAGAUAUGUUAUUUUCAGUUGCUUAUCUUACAGAGAUUAGUAUAAAUGGACUCAAGAUAUUACAAAAUCUUCUCACAUAUCUUCAUCAAAGAAAGAUAUCGACUGUAAGCGAAAGAAAAUAUUACAUGAUCAAAGAUUCAAAGCACCCACCUGUUAGCACAUUCCCC
This is a long non-coding RNA of Cucurbita maxima (winter squash), 351 nucleotides long. RefSeq lists it as uncharacterized. The record is from RefSeq and is a predicted model, not a curated record. NCBI's taxonomy places the organism in Eukaryota, Viridiplantae, Streptophyta, Magnoliopsida, Cucurbitales, Cucurbitaceae. The transcript has 2 exons.